RNAcentral lists this RNase P RNA (612 nucleotides) under Serpula lacrymans var. lacrymans S7.3. Its description in RNAcentral is "Nuclear RNase P". It matches the Rfam family "Nuclear RNase P". From Rfam's summary of the family: Ribonuclease P (RNase P) is a ubiquitous endoribonuclease, found in archaea, bacteria and eukarya as well as chloroplasts and mitochondria. Its best characterised activity is the generation of mature 5'-ends of tRNAs by cleaving the 5'-leader elements of precursor-tRNAs. Lineage: Eukaryota; Fungi; Basidiomycota; Agaricomycetes; Boletales; Serpulaceae. The record is from Rfam by way of RNAcentral.
ACAGCUCGAAAGCCGCGAGGCUCACACCGCACAGGAACGCGCUUUUAGCGCAUCCAUUUUCGUGAGCGGGCUAAGGUCUGAGCAUUUCAAUCUCCCUGUGAUCGGCUCUAGCUGGGCCCCAUGCUAAUGCGUGGAGCGACGUACAAGAAAAACAGACUGCAGUUUUCGUCAGUACCCACGAUCCUUGUCACGAGGGGAGGGAAGAGAACUGUGGGCUUUGGAAACGUCGUGGAGAUCGGGCGGACGAUGCUGGCAGUGGGCGCCCUCCUGAUCCACUUUUAUCGCGGAUUCUGUGCUCUCUGAGCGCCUCAGAGGGACAUGAGGACAUCACGAUCCAAAUGUGUCGCCACGAACAGACAAUGGUCAUGGUUAAUGGGGGAUCCCGAUACAUUCUUUGAGACAUGUCAAUGGAACUUUAUACGCGCGUCUAUCAGAUUCCUGGUAGGCUGCUGCGGCGGGGCCUUGCGAUGUGUUUGCUGUCCGUAUGAGAAGAAUGGAGCUUCAGGGUCGUCUCACUGCUACUGGUACGCGUCCGUCCUUGAGUUCACUUCGCGGCUCGAGGACACAGUCAGCUUUGUCUGCGAAACUCGAUUCAGACUACUCUCGAGCUGU